AAUACUAAGUUUAAAACUCAAAGGGCUUGGCGGUGUUUCAGACCACUUAGGGGAACCUGUCUCAUAAUCGAUAAUUCCACGAUACACCUAACCUCUUUUUGCUUCCCAGUUUGUAUACCGUCGUCGUCAGGUAACUUUUAAGAAAUCGGGGGUUAGCUAAAACGUUAAAUGUAAACUUAAACGUCAGGUCAAGGUGCAGCCAAUAAGGAGGUGAAGAGGGGUUACAAUUAUUUUACUUAUAAUACGGAAAAGCUUGUAUUGAACAAAUAGCUAAAAAGGAGGACUUAAAAGUAAAAUUAAUUAUACAAAUAUAUUGAAUUGGGCU
RNAcentral lists this ribosomal RNA (325 nucleotides) under Turbinella pyrum. Its description in RNAcentral is "partial 12S ribosomal RNA". Lineage: Eukaryota; Metazoa; Mollusca; Gastropoda; Neogastropoda; Turbinellidae. The record is from RNAcentral.